GUUGUAACAGUCAUUGCAGCGACAAUGAUCCCUCAGCCACGGGUAGGAGAAACGGAGGCUGUGUGGCCAGCGAGGGUGCUGCACCUCCAGCCUUGACCCAGCAUCGAAGGUGCUGAUCUCUGCAGGAGUGGUGGUUGGGCAGCGGUCAUGUGGCGUUGCCUGGCGUGGGUGACAGUGACUGUAGUGGCGGCGGUGACGGUGGAGGACGUGAUGAAUGAUCCUCUUCUGGUGGUGUUAAACCCUCCUUACAACACCCUCACCCUUGACGCCCACACCCUGCACUUCCUACAUUCUAAAGGAGAAGCCAAGGUGAGAUGGGGCCUCACUCUGCCGGAAGGGGCGCAGGGCACGCCAUGUGGGGAAGGCGACUCCUGCCUCGAUUUCGGGGUGGCCAAGGUGGUGGUGACGACUGAGGACCACUGCCAGAAGGUGGCCUGGACCUCCGGCAGUGGUAGCGACGGUGGCCUGACCGCCCUGAAGGACUGCGUGCUGCUGGAAGGCCACUGGUUUGGUGGCGGGCAGCAGGUGGAGCAGCCGUGGCCCUUGGAGCAGCAGCCGCGGCAAGAGACGGCCUUCGUGACAGCUGACAUGCUGUCUCGGAGCAGCCUGUGGUACGGUGGCGUGUCCGAGGCUUACUGGGUGUCGUCACAGGGCGUAGCAAUCAGGGUGGAGGAGCAGACGCCAUUGUUCCUGAGUGUGCCUGACAACGACGGCGACUCCACGGCGGACGAGCUGUGCCUCGCUGCCCGCCACGAGGAGCCCUUCAUGGCCAGCCCGGGCAGCCACCUCACCCUCACCUACCACCUGUGCUCUGGGAACGACGUGAGGAAGGUGCAUGAGGCGACCUUCCCCAAGUUCUUCUCGCUGCCUGAGGCCGCGGUGGACUCCCGCAUGAUCCGGGAUCCCAUCUGGUCCACCUGGGCCGAGUACCACAAAGCCGUCAACGACAGCAGAGUCCUUGACUUUGCACGAGCUGCCUUUGAAAACGGGUUCAACAACAGCCAGGUGGAGAUCGACGAUAACUGGGAGACAUGUUAUGGCGAGGCUGUGUUCAACCCAGAGCGUUUCCCAGACCCCCGUGGCUUGGUGGACCAGCUCCACAGUGAAGGCUUCCGGGUCACGCUGUGGAUCCAUCCCUUCAUCAACCAGGACUGUCCCGCCUUCACCCUCGCGGACCAGCUGGGCUACUUCAUCAAGGACAGCUCGGGCGCCACUCAGCUGACUCACUGGUGGGACGGCAGGAAGGCAGGUCUACUGGACUUCACCAACGCAGAGGCCGUGGCGUGGUGGACUCAGCGCCUGAACGACUUGAAGCACCAGACCGGCGUGGACAGCUUCAAAUUUGACGCGGGCGAGACCACCUGGAUGCCUGGGAACUUCACGCUGCAGGCUGACGAGCGACUCUGGCCCAACCUGUACACCUUCAAGUACGUGGAGGCAGUGGCGGACUUCGGGGACAUGGUGGAAACCAGGGUUGGCCGAGGCUCCCAGCGCUUCCCGAUCUUCGUCAGGAUGCUUGACAAGUACUCCACCUGGGGUUACUACAAUGGCCUCAAGACGCUCGUGCCCUCACUGCUGCACUUUGGCCUCCUCGGGUACCCCUUCGUGCUGCCAGACAUGAUAGGGGGCAACGCGUACGGGCUGCGUCCCGGCAAGGAGCUGUUCGUCAGGUGGGCGCAAGCCAACGCCUUCAUGCCCGCCCUGCAGUUCUCCAUCCUGCCCUGGAACUACGACGAGGAGGUGACGGAGCUGUGCCGGGAGGUGACGCGCCUGCACACUCAGUACACGCCGCUGCUGCUCAGCCUGGCACAGGAGGCCACAACCUCCGUGGCCCCAAUGAUGCGCCCCACCUGGUGGCUGUGCCCCACCGUGGAGGAGUGUCUCACCGCAGACCAGCAAUUCCUGGUUGGUGAUGACCUGCUGGUGGUGCCCGUGGUGACAGCCGGCGCCGCUACCGUGGACGUGGUGGUGCCCCCCGGUGAGUGGCAGCAGGUGGGCACGGGGCUGGCUGCUGCAGGCCCCGCCACGCUUACCGUGACAAACAUCACCCUGGACAGCGUGGUGUACUUCACCAGGAAGGCAGCGCACCACACUGGGCUCGGAGGUGAGGCAGUGGCAGCAGGAGUAGCAGUGCAGUAGUGGACACCAAGAAGGCAGCGCACCACACUGGGCUCGGAGCGCCGCCCGGACAUUCUCCCUCCCGGUGGCCACUGAAUCCUGAGCUCGUGACGUCACACCUAAGGAACCCACAAGAACCAAUCACAGCUCGUCUUUCAACCCUGCAGAGUGACGUCAGAGAGU
Molecule: unclassified non-coding RNA, 2301 nt
Filed under: Portunus trituberculatus (swimming crab)
Lineage: Eukaryota; Metazoa; Arthropoda; Malacostraca; Decapoda; Portunidae
Description: myogenesis-regulating glycosidase-like, transcript variant X3
Source: RNAcentral